CGACCGCUGGCGGCGUGCUUAACACAUGCAAGUCGAACGGAAAGGCCCCUUUGGGGGUACUCGAGUGGCGAACGGGUGAGUAACACGUGAGUAACCUGCCCUUGACUUCGGGAUAACUUCAGGAAACUGGGGCUAAUACCGGAUAGGAAUCCUUGCUGCAUGGUGGGGGUUGGAAAGCUUCGGCGGUUUUGGAUGGACUCGCGGCUUAUCAGCUUGUUGGUGGGGUAGUGGCUUACCAAGGCUUUGACGGGUAGCCGGCCUGAGAGGGCGACCGGCCACAUUGGGACUGAGAUACGGCCCAGACUCCUACGGGAGGCAGCAGUGGGGAAUAUUGCACAAUGGGCGGAAGCCUGAUGCAGCAACGCCGCGUGCGGGAUGACGGCCUUCGGGUUGUAAACCGCUUUCAGCAGGGGCGAAGCUUGUGGUGACGGUACCUGCAGAAGAAGCACCGGCUAACUACGUG
RNAcentral lists this ribosomal RNA (463 nucleotides) under uncultured bacterium. RNAcentral describes it as "partial 16S ribosomal RNA". It matches the Rfam family "Bacterial small subunit ribosomal RNA", at positions 30 to 507 of the family's 1533-position model. The record is from RNAcentral.